UACAGAGGGUGCAAGCGUUGUUCGGAAUUAUUGGGCGUAAAGCGCAUGUAGGCGGUCGCUUAAGUCUGGUGUGAAAUCCCGGGGCCUAACCCCGGAAGUGCACUGGAUACUGGGCAACUAGAGGACGAGAGAGGACAGUGGAAUUCCUGGUGUAGGGGUGAAAUCCGUAGAUAUCAGGAGGAACAUCGGUGGCGAAGGCGGCUGUCUGGCUCGUUUCUGACGCUGAGAUGCGAAAGCGUGGGGAGCAAACAGG
RNAcentral lists this ribosomal RNA (253 nucleotides) under uncultured bacterium. RNAcentral's name for it is "partial 16S ribosomal RNA". It matches the Rfam family "Bacterial small subunit ribosomal RNA", at positions 524 to 776 of the family's 1533-position model. The record is from RNAcentral.